RNAcentral lists this ribosomal RNA (361 nucleotides) under Salmonella enterica. Its description in RNAcentral is "bacterial SSU rRNA". It matches the Rfam family "Bacterial small subunit ribosomal RNA", at positions 1 to 358 of the family's 1533-position model. Lineage: Bacteria; Pseudomonadati; Pseudomonadota; Gammaproteobacteria; Enterobacterales; Enterobacteriaceae. RNAcentral also lists the same sequence under 1 other name. The record is from RNAcentral.
AAAUUGAAGAGUUUGAUCAUGGCUCAGAUUGAACGCUGGCGGCAGGCCUAACACAUGCAAGUCGAACGGUAACAGGAAGCAGCUUGCUGCUUUGCUGACGAGUGGCGGACGGGUGAGUAAUGUCUGGGAAACUGCCUGAUGGAGGGGGAUAACUACUGGAAACGGUGGCUAAUACCGCAUAACGUCGCAAGACCAAAGAGGGGGACCUUCGGGCCUCUUGCCAUCAGAUGUGCCCAGAUGGGAUUAGCUUGUUGGUGAGGUAACGGCUCACCAAGGCGACGAUCCCUAGCUGGUCUGAGAGGAUGACCAGCCACACUGGAACUGAGACACGGUCCAGACUCCUACGGGAGGCAGCAGUGGG